Molecule: small nucleolar RNA, 133 nt
Filed under: Nicotiana sylvestris (wood tobacco)
Lineage: Eukaryota; Viridiplantae; Streptophyta; Magnoliopsida; Solanales; Solanaceae
Also listed under: 1 other name
Description: Small nucleolar RNA snoR77
Rfam family: Small nucleolar RNA snoR77
Source: Rfam by way of RNAcentral
AGGCAGCCCCCUUUGUUCGAUUUGAUGGGAAGGGAGGUGUUAAUCUGCUCGUAAAUUAAAUUCGCUUUUAGUCUUCAGAUUUGCUGAGAUAUAUUAUAUCUUUGAAGCUGGUCUAGUAAAUCCUAAGCACAAU